Molecule: ribosomal RNA, 492 nt
Filed under: uncultured bacterium
Lineage: Bacteria
Description: partial 16S ribosomal RNA
Rfam family: Bacterial small subunit ribosomal RNA
Source: RNAcentral
AGUGAACGCUGGCGGUAGGCCUAACACGUGCAAGUCGAACGGCAGCACAGUAAGAGCUUGCUCUUACGGGUGGCGAGUGGCGGACGGGUGAGGAAUACAUCGGAAUCUACUUUUUCGUGGGGGAUAACGUAGGGAAACUUACGCUAAUACCGCAUACGACCUACGGGUGAAAGCAGGGGAUCUUCGGACCUUGCGCGAUUGAAUGAGCCGAUGUCGGAUUAGCUAGUUGGCGGGGUAAAGGCCCACCAAGGCGACGAUCCGUAGCUGGUCUGAGAGGAUGAUCAGCCACACUGAAACUGAGACACGGUCCAGACUCCUACGGGAGGCAGCAGUGGGGAAUAUUGGACAAUGGGCGCAAGCCUGAUCCAGCCAUACCGCGUGGGUGAAGAAGGCCUUCGGGUUGUAAAGCCCUUUUGUUGGGAAAGAAAAGCAGCAGGUUAAUACCCCGCUGUUCUGACGGUACCCAAAGAAUAAGCACCGGCUAACUUCGUG